ACGAUGAAGCCCUUCGGGGUGGAUUAGUGGCGAACGGGUGAGUAACACGUGGGCAAUCUGCCCUUCACUCUGGGACAAGCCCUGGAAACGGGGUCUAAUACCGGAUAACACUCUGUCCCUCAUGGGGCGGGGUUAAAAGCUCCGGCGGUGAAGGAUGAGCCCGCGGCCUAUCAGCUUGUUGGUGGGGUAAUGGCCUACCAAGGCGACGACGGGUAGCCGGCCUGAGAGGGCGACCGGCCACACUGGGACUGAGACACGGCCCAGACUCCUACGGGAGGCAGCAGUGGGGAAUAUUGCACAAUGGGCGAAAGCCUGAUGCAGCGACGCCGCGUGAGGGAUGACGGCCUUCGGGUUGUAAACCUCUUUCAGCAGGGAAGAAGCGAAAGUGACGGUACCUGCAGAAGAAGCACCGGCUAACUACGUGCCAGCAGCCGCGGUAAUACGUAGGGUGCGAGCGUUGUCCGGAAUUAUUGGGCGUAAAGAGCUCGUAGGCGGCUUGUCACGUCGGAUGUGAAAGCUCGGGGCUUAACCCCGAGUCUGCAUUCGAUACGGGCUAGCUAGAGUGUGGUAGGGGAGAUCGGAAUUCCUGGUGUAGCGGUGAAAUGCGCAGAUAUCAGGAGGAACACCGGUGGCGAAGGCGGAUCUCUGGGCCAUUACUGACGCUGAGGAGCGAAAGCGUGGGGAGCGAACAGGAUUAGAU
Molecule: ribosomal RNA, 700 nt
Filed under: Streptomyces sp.
Lineage: Bacteria; Bacillati; Actinomycetota; Actinomycetes; Kitasatosporales; Streptomycetaceae
Description: bacterial SSU rRNA
Rfam family: Bacterial small subunit ribosomal RNA
Source: RNAcentral